RNAcentral lists this ribosomal RNA (629 nucleotides) under Diporodrilus pilosus. Its description in RNAcentral is "partial 16S ribosomal RNA". It matches the Rfam family "Bacterial large subunit ribosomal RNA", at positions 1820 to 2797 of the family's 2925-position model. The record is from RNAcentral. Lineage: Eukaryota; Metazoa; Annelida; Clitellata; Crassiclitellata; Lumbricidae.
CCCCUGUAAUAAAUAAGGGGUUAUUCCUGCCCAGUGACACUGUUUAACGGCCGCGGUAUCCUAACCGUGCAAAGGUAGCAUAAUCAUUUGCCCAUUAAUUGUGGGCUGGAAUGAAAGGACUAACGAAAUCAAGACUGUCUCUAUAAAUAUAAUAAAAAUUAUUCUCUAGCUGAAGAGUGCUAGAUAAAAUCGAAGGACAAGAAGACCCUAUAGAGCUUUAUUUCUGAAGAGAUAAACUCCCACACAAUUCGGUUGGGGCGACCAAGGACAUACGUAUCAUCCUCAACAUUAAGAUAAAUAUAUCUAAAUAAAGACCCUUAAAAAAGAGCAAAAAACUAAGCUACCUUAGGGAUAACAGGCUAAUCUCUCUAAAGAGUCCUUAUCUAUAGAGGGGAUUGGCACCUCGAUGUUGGCUUAGGGAAACUUCCUAGCGCAAAAGCUAUGAUAAGAUGGUUUGUUCAACCAAUAAAUCCCUACAUGAGCUGAGUUCAGACCGGCGUAAGCCAGGUUAGUUUCUAUCCUCGAUAACCAACUUACUAUCUAUAGUACGAAAGGACCUAGAUAAGGGUAAACAUUACAAAAACUGAAUUAAUAUAAAAUAAUUUAAAUCACCUAAAUCAACUACUAUG